This 216-nucleotide ribosomal RNA is filed under the name uncultured Streptococcus sp. Its description in RNAcentral is "partial 16S ribosomal RNA". It matches the Rfam family "Bacterial small subunit ribosomal RNA", at positions 1168 to 1382 of the family's 1533-position model. The record is from RNAcentral. Lineage: Bacteria; Bacillati; Bacillota; Bacilli; Lactobacillales; Streptococcaceae.
GGAAGGUGGGGAGUGACGUCAAAUCAUCAUGCCCUUAUGACCUGGGCUACACACGUGCUACAAUGGUUGGUACAACGAGUUGCGAGUCGGUGACGGCGAGCUAAUACUCUUAAAGCCAAUCUCAGUUCGGAUUGUAGGCUGCAACUCGCCUACAUGAAGUCGGAAUCGCUAGUAAUCGCGGAUCAGCACGCCGCGGUGAAUACGUUCCCGGGCCUU